This 4286-nucleotide long non-coding RNA is filed under the name Homo sapiens (human). RNAcentral's name for it is "non-protein coding LINC01094:6". Lineage: Eukaryota; Metazoa; Chordata; Mammalia; Primates; Hominidae. The record is from RNAcentral.
CUUUUCAGUUCUGUCUUCCUGAGGCUGCUGUUUCUGGGCAUGGCCAGGGGAUCUUCAGACUUUACAAACCAGUUGUGCAGAGCCAGGCAUUUCAAUAAGGAACAAAAUGCUGAGUAACAACAUGAAGUCAGAGUGUUGCUUGCCAAGAGCUGGGAGGCCUGGGUGGUUUCCCAAUCUUAAAGAAGCAGAAGGAUAUUAAAGUGAGCCUCCCAAAGGAAAACGUGGAUCUACUUACCAACGCAGAAAAUGAUACACACGGAUUCGAUUUAGGCACGCUACAUUCAAAUGACUUGGAAGAGCAGGUUCUCUGAGCCAGGAUACUAAAGUCCCUGUUUAGGAAAGAGCCACGUUGUAUGUUUACCCUACCACAAAGAUACAGUCAUGUGCCUGGGAAAGAUUGAUGCCAGCUCCAGAAAGGCAUCCGAAUGGUCUAAGUAAUGCCAUCCAUCUGUCAGUAAUAGAUUCAGAAAUGGUGCUGGCAGAGGAAACAGCAGCAAUGAUGCUCUGCGAGCCUGACUCAGGGCCAGCAGUGAUGGCAGCCCAAGAAUUCUGGAGGAAAGUGGCUCUGGGAAUUGAACAGUGGCUCAGUGAUGUUGGGGCCACCAAGUCUGCAAUUCUCCCUACCUGUUCUUCAUGGUUGUAAGAUGACUGCUGCAAUUCUCGGCAUCAUGUGCAUGUUAAUGUCAGGAGGAAGAAAGGAAGAGGGAGCACUGGGAUGUUACAUUCAUUUUGUCAGGAAAAGCAAAGCCUUUCCAGACAGCUCCGAAACUUGCUUACCUCUCAUUGGCCAGCACCAUCACUUGACCACUUGUCCACUCCUAGCUGCAAGGAAAGUGGCAAAGUAGAAGGUAUUUGAGAAUGUCUGCUGGGUUAGCCAAAACAAUAGUGACUUCUACACCCAAUUUUCUGGGCACUGCAGAAGUAUCCUUGAGUCCUAUGUGAUCAGAGGGAGAGCAAACCUCAAUAAUGAAACAGAUUCAAUUUCCAUCACCCAGUGAGACACCAUGGGAUUAGAAUAAAUUUUUAAAAAAACAAAUUGAAAAAAAUGCAUUUUUAAAACAACAAAAUCAGAAAGGAUGAAAGGUGAUAUUUCUAGCAUAUCAGUUUGUGGUGGUAAAUUAAUUACCUUAUACAAAGGCCUCAGUGACUUUCUUCUCCUUACCUAACGAAUCAUCUUUAAAAUAAGUAAAAUAAAGAAACAAGAGCAGCAGCAGAUGCUUCCUAAAAAGAAGUUACCAAAUCUGUUCACCACAAACCUGAGAAUUCAACUGUGGACAUUUGGACACCAGCAAUGAACAUGAAACUCAGCUUAUGAGGCAUAUUUGGCUAAAGGUCAAGGUGACUUAAAGUUCAUCAUAGGACAUCUACAAUUUGCAAAGCAGGUGACUGGAUAUGGACUCCUUCCAAGUCUCAUUUAAUUGGAUAAUGCCUACGUUUUAAGUAUCAGAAGUGAGUCUUUCUCUAUUAAAUGAAGUCAGUUCCACUAAAACCUAAAUCUUGUUUGGCAGGCACUCCAUGUUUCUUAAUUUUUAUUCCAUGCUGUAUAUUCUUUUAGACUUGAUUUUCACUUUUUUUUCUUUUUUCCUGUACAUUUAUCUUUGCUGUGAAACAAAGUGCCCUGCUUUGAAGGACAGGUUUGUGGGCUGCUGGUGGUGAGACAACAGCAGUCCUUCCAAGUCUUCCUCCCAUCACUCUGUUAGCUCUCCCUUUGUUUUUAAUUAGCAUUACACCAGUUAAUUCUGUUAUCUCUUAACCCUGGUUCUGCAUCCUCUUCUUCUUUUCUAUUCCUUACUCCGCUCCUGUUUUUUCUUGUUCUGCUUUUCCAAGAAAUGUCUUGUCUCCUCAUCAGUUGACUGUCUUCUCUUUCCAGAGGGACCAUAAAGGUGCCAGCCUAAGGAACACGUAAAACGUGGGAACAGACAAACAAGCUGCUGCCUAUUACAGAGAUAGAUAAUUAACUUUGGACCAUUACAUGCAAUUCAUCAGCUUAUCUUUUUCAAACUUUAUAUAAGAAGUCAUUUCCCAAUGGUAACCACUUGCCAGCUGCAACUUUGACGCAUAUUAUCAGGAUAGGUGAGAUUGAUGGGGGCCCUUUGAACUCUUCCCAGGGAAUUAUCUUUAUAAUGUUACAGUUUUCUCUAUAGCAUGGUCAUAUUGUUAACAUUGGUUAUAAGGUCAUAUGGUUAGUAUGGUUAGUAUUGGUGGCUCACAGCUGUAAUACCAGCACUUUGGGAGGCCAAGGUGGGAGGAUCACUUGAGCCCUGGUGUUCAAAACCAGCUCUGGAAACAUAGCAAGACCUUGUCUCUACAAAAAAAAAUUAAAUAAAUUAAAAGAUUAGCUGGGCAUGGUGGCACAUGCCUGUAGUCCUCACUACUUGGGAAACUAAGGUGGGAGGAUCCUUUGAGCUUGGGAGGUUGAGGCUGCAGUGAGCUGUGGUUGUGCCAUGGCACUCCAGCCUGGGUGACAGAGUGAGAGCCUGUCUCAAAAAAAAAAAAAAAAAAAAAAAAAAGUACCUGUAAGGUCUUUGGGAUUUUGAAGAUGAAAGGUGUUGCAUAAAUUGAAUGAAUUCACUUAGAGAGAUAGAAGGCAACUACAGGGAAUAUUACGUACAUCAUGGAGCGGAAAGCACUAAGGCCUGUGGAAUUAUUCUCAGUGACACGUCGUUGAGGGCAGUGGUCCACAUGUUUUGAACAUGGUUUCUCCCAGGUGAAAAGGAUGAGUAAUUUGUUCUCCUUCACAUGUGUGUAUGUAGGUCUUAUACACAGCAGAUUUGCCACAAAACAAAUGAAGAUUACACUUUGGGCCCCUCUCUCACAUGAGCCCCUUCCAAAGUUCUGUUUGCUAAUUUUACAUUUUGUAAUUUCUUAUUAUUUUUCUUAAAGAAGCCUCCUCCAAUUGCAUAAACUUCAAGCCUCACAAAAUUUGGAUCCAUACCUGAGCCAACAUACAAUACAAUUUUCCAUUUCUAACUUUUAGUUGUACCUAGUGUUUUAUUGGAAAUGAUCAAGUACAUGAGUGGUGUCUUUUUAAAAAAUUUACUUUAUUUGCUUCUCUAGCUUCAUCGUUAGUUAGGCAGUUAAAUCUAACCAUUUGGAGGUAUUUUCAUAUAACCUCCAUUGAGGACAAUUUGGCAAUAGCUUUUAAAAUUAUAAAUAUAUUUGUACAGUUAUAAGCUGCCAUAUCUAUAAAACUAUUUGAUAGACAAAAGUUGAAAACCCUCCAAGAGCUCAUCAAUAAAAGAUUAAAUUAAUUAUGAUACAUCCAUAUGAGCACUGAGCAGCUGUGAAAAAAAUGAGGAAGUAAUUCCUGUGCUGAUAUGGGAAGACUUCCAAGACAUGUUGUUAAGUACAGAAUGGUGUAUACAGUAUGCUAUAUAGUGUGGUAAAAGGUUUAGGGAUAAGCAUUUAUAUUUAUAACUGUUUAUAUUUACAUAAAGUAAUUCUGAAAGGAUACAAAAAAGCUAACAAAAGAGAUUACCUGUGGUAGUGUGGGGCUUGGGGAUUGGAUGGGUGAGAAACAGUAGUGGAAAUGAGAUAUUGUACAGUUUAAGGCAUUAUACACCUAUAAAAACAUGGGAAUGUAUUACCUACUCAAAAAGUGAAAUUAAGAGAGAUACAAGAAACUGUUUGGAUGUUCCUUCCCGUUUCAAUGUAUCUAUAUUUUUUCAGCCCUCAAAGUUAUUAUAAAUGUCAUUAUAAUAACUUCAUAAAGCUUCCCCUAUAAUGAGAAUCUUACCAUUCUCCUAACUCCAAUAGCACUGUAAUCCACCUCUGUUAGGACACAUCACUCUUCAUCAUGUGUGAUUAUUAUUUGCAGAUAUCAUCUUCAAGGCUCUUCUCUAUUUACCACCUGCCAUUCUUGUUCUCACCUCUACAUGACCUUCACAUUUUAUUUCUCUCGGUUUUUUGGACAAGCUACAUUCCCUUCCACAGAGAAGGCUUCCCUGACCCCUUUCACUUGGUUGGAUUACCUUGCUAUUCUUUUCUAUCUUUGUACAUUCCUUUUCAAAAUACUUAUCUCCCUUGUUGUUACCUAUAAUGUCUGUCUUCUUUACUCAAGAGUCUAGACAAAAAGCUCCACGCCAGCCUCGGCUGUGUUUGUAUUGUUUACGUCUGUGUUCCUAGUGCUUAAUAAAAUACCUAGCAAGGGUUAAUAAGUACUUGUUGACUGGAAGGGAAUGACUUCCUUCCCUUACUAGAGAGUGAUUUCCUUACAGGCGAGAUGUGUCAACCUUCUAUAGCCCACAUAAAAUAAAGGACAAUAUCUCCUAUUGGAUAAAAGACAA